GACGAACGCUGGCGGCGUGCUUAACACAUGCAAGUCGAACGGAAAGGCCCUGCUUUUGUGGGGUGCUCGAGUGGCGAACGGGUGAGUAACACGUGAGUAACCUGCCCUUGACUUUGGGAUAACUUCAGGAAACUGGGGCUAAUACCGGAUAGGAGCUCCUGCUGCAUGGUGGGGGUUGGAAAGUUUCGGCGGUUGGGGAUGGACUCGCGGCUUAUCAGCUUGUUGGUGGGGUAGUGGCUUACCAAGGCUUUGACGGGUAGCCGGCCUGAGAGGGUGACCGGCCACAUUGGGACUGAGAUACGGCCCAGACUCCUACGGGAGGCAGCAGGGGGGAAUAUUGCACAAUGGGCGGAAGCCUGGUGCAGCAACGCCGCGUGCGGGAUGACGGCCUUCGGGUUGUAAACCGCUUUCGCCUGUGACGAAGCGUGAGUGACGGUAAUGGGUAAAGAAGCACCGGCUAACUACGUG
This 468-nucleotide ribosomal RNA is filed under the name uncultured bacterium. Its description in RNAcentral is "partial 16S ribosomal RNA". It matches the Rfam family "Bacterial small subunit ribosomal RNA", at positions 28 to 507 of the family's 1533-position model. The record is from RNAcentral.